UGAUGGUAUCCCUACAGAAGGAUUCUGCACCCCAGAAUCAUCUCACUGUUUUAAUAGGUUCUGCUCAGUCCCUUGGAGUCAGGAGUCCAUGGCUUCCAGGCUUGUUACCUUUCUGGCUUCCUUGCUUUAGGCAAA
Choloepus hoffmanni (Hoffmann's two-fingered sloth) is the source of this 135-nucleotide non-coding RNA. Lineage: Eukaryota; Metazoa; Chordata; Mammalia; Pilosa; Megalonychidae. The record is from Rfam.